Molecule: ribosomal RNA, 503 nt
Filed under: uncultured Alphaproteobacteria bacterium
Lineage: Bacteria; Pseudomonadati; Pseudomonadota; Alphaproteobacteria
Description: bacterial SSU rRNA
Rfam family: Bacterial small subunit ribosomal RNA
Source: RNAcentral
AAGCCCCGGCUCACUUUCGUGCCAGCAGCCGCGGUAAUACGAAGGUGGCUAGCGUUGCUCGGAAUUACUGGGCGUUAAGGGCGCGUAGGCGGAUCGUUAAGCUCAGAGGUGAAAUCCCAGGGCUCACCCCUGGAACUGCCUUUGAUACUGGCGAUCUUGAUUAUGAGAGAGGUAUGUGGAACUCCGAGUGUAGUGGUGAAAUUCGUAGAUAUUCGGAAGAACACCAGUGGCGAAGGCGACAUACUGGCUCAUUACUGACGCUGAGGCGCGAAAGCGUGGGGAGCAAACAGGAUUAGAUACCCCGGUAGUCCACGCCGUAAACGAUGAUUGCUAGUUGUCGGGCUGCAUGCAUUUCGGUGACGCAGCUAACGCAUUAAGCAAUCCGCCUGGGGAGUACGGUCGCAAGAUUAAAACUAAAAGGAAUUGACGGGGGCCCGCACAAGCGGUGGAGCAUGUGGUUUAAUUCGAAGCAACGCGCCGAACCUUACCACCUUUUGACAUGC